CCUAAGACAUGCAAGUCGAACGAGACGGCCCAAUGAAAAUGGAGUGCUUGCAACAAAGUUGGGAUUUGGUUUCCCGUCUAGUGGCGCAAGGGUGAGUAACACGUGGGUAAUCUACCUUCGAGUCUGGAAUAACAGUUAGAAAUGAUUGCUAAUGCCGGAUGAUAUAUAAGAAGAUAUACUUCAUAUAUUAAAAGGUGCCUCAAAGCAUCGCUUGAAGAUGAGCCUGCGCCGUAUUAGCUAGUUGGUGGGGUAACGGCCUACCAAGGCAACGAUGCGUAGCCGACCUGAGAGGGUGAUCGGCCACACUGGGACUGAGACACGGCCCAGACUCCUACGGGAGACAGCAGUUAGGAAUAUUCGUCAAUGGGGGAAACCCUGAACGAGCAAUGCCGCGUGAAGGAUGACGGUCCUAUGGAUUGUAAACUUCUGUUGUUAGGGAAGAACGACCUGUGUAGGAAAUGACACAGGAGUGACGGUACCUUUCAAGAAAGCUCCGGCUAACUACGUG
This 508-nucleotide ribosomal RNA is filed under the name uncultured bacterium. RNAcentral's name for it is "bacterial SSU rRNA". It matches the Rfam family "Bacterial small subunit ribosomal RNA", at positions 47 to 507 of the family's 1533-position model. The record is from RNAcentral.